GAAGUAAAAGUCGUAACAAGGUCUCCGUAGGUGAACCUGCGGAGGGAUCAUUACAGAGUUCAUGCCCUUCGGGGUAGAUCUCCCACCCUAUGUAUUUAUACCUUUGUUGCUUUGGUGGGCCGUUAGGCUUCGGCCCAGCUACCGGCUCACGCUGGUAAGUGCCCACCAGAGGACCUAAAACUCUGAAUGUUAAUGUCGUCUGAGUACUAUAUAAUAGUUAAAACUUUCAACAACGGAUCUCUUGGUUCUGGCAUCGAUGAAGAACGCAGCGAAAUGCGAUAAGUAAUGUGAAUUGCAGAAUUCAGUGAAUCAUCGAAUCUUUGAACGCACAUUGCGCCCUCUGGUAUUCCGGAGGGCAUGCCUGUUCGAGCGUCAUUACAACCCUCAAGCUCUGCUUGGUAUUGGGCGUCACCAGUUCUGGUGUGCUCUAAAAUCAGUGGCGGUGCCAUCUGGCUCUAAGCGUAGUACAUCUCUCGCUAUGGAAGUCUUAUGGAUGCUUGCCAACAACCCCAAAUUUUUUUAAGGUUGACCUCGGAUCAGGUAGGGAUACCCGCUGAACUUAAGCAUAU
Molecule: ribosomal RNA, 569 nt
Filed under: fungal sp. SF(I)1B-15
Lineage: Eukaryota; Fungi
Description: eukaryotic LSU rRNA
Rfam family: 5.8S ribosomal RNA (bases 222-375)
Source: RNAcentral